RNAcentral lists this ribosomal RNA (1357 nucleotides) under uncultured bacterium. RNAcentral describes it as "bacterial SSU rRNA". It matches the Rfam family "Bacterial small subunit ribosomal RNA", at positions 28 to 1387 of the family's 1533-position model. The record is from RNAcentral.
GAUGAACUCUGGCGGCGUGCUUAACACAUGCAAGUCGAACGAAGCAAUCUAACGGAAGUUUUCGGAUGGAAGCUAGAUUGACUGAGUGGCGGACGGGUGAGUAACGCGUGGGUAACCUGCCUCACACUGGGGGACAACAGUUAGAAAUGACUGCUAAUACCGCAUAAGCGCACAGGACCGCAUGGUCCGGUGUGAAAAACUCCGGUGGUGUGAGAUGGACCCGCGUUUGAUUAGCUAGUUGGUGGGGUAACGGCCUACCAAGGCGACGAUCAAUAGCCGACCUGAGAGGGUGACCGGCCACAUUGGGACUGAGACACGGCCCAAACUCCUACGGGAGGCAGCAGUGGGGAAUAUUGCACAAUGGGGGAAACCCUGAUGCAGCGACGCCGCGUGAGUGAAGAAGUAUUUCGGUAUGUAAAGCUCUAUCAGCAGGGAAGAAAAUGACGGUACCUGACUAAGAAGCCCCGGCUAACUACGUGCCAGCAGCCGCGGUAAUACGUAGGGGGCAAGCGUUAUCCGGAUUUACUGGGUGUAAAGGGAGCGUAGACGGUAAAGCAAGUCUGAAGUGAAAGCCCGGGGCUCAACCCCGGGACUGCUUUGGAAACUGUUUAACUAGAGUGCUGGAGAGGUAAGCGGAAUUCCUAGUGUAGCGGUGAAAUGCGUAGAUAUUAGGAGGAACACCAGUGGCGAAGGCGGCUUACUGGACAGUAACUGACGUUGAGGCUCGAAAGCGUGGGGAGCAAAAAGGAUUAGAUACCCUGGUAGUCCACGCCGUAAACGAAGAAUACUAGGUGUGGGGGGCAAAGUCCUUCGGUGCCGUCGCAAACGCAAUAAGUAUUCCACCUGGGGAGUACGUUCGCAAGAAUGAAACUCAAAGGAAUUGACGGGGACCCGCACAAGCGGUGGAGCAUGUGGUUUAAUUCGAAGCAACGCGAAGAACCUUACCAAAUCUUGACAUCCCUCUGACCGGCGAGUAAUGUCGCCUUUCCUUCGGGACAGAGGAGACAGGUGGUGCAUGGUUGUCGUCAGCUCGUGUCGUGAGAUGUUGGGUUAAGUCCCGCAACGAGCGCAACCCUUAUCCUAAGUAGCCAGCAGUUCGGCUGGGCACUCUUGGGAGACUGCCAGGGAUAACCUGGAGGAAGGUGGGGAUGACGUCAAAUCAUCAUGCCCCUUAUGAUUUGGGCUACACACGUGCUACAAUGGCGUAAACAAAGAGAGGCGAGACCGCGAGGUGGAGCAAAUCUCAAAAAUAACGUCUCAGUUCGGACUGCAGGCUGCAACUCGCCUGCACGAAGCUGGAAUCGCUAGUAAUCGCGAAUCAGAAUGUCGCGGUGAAUACGUUCCCGGGUCUUGCACU